CUGCGUGGCGCAUCCCCAACAACGAGUGCUCAUUGUGAUAUAUAACUACCAAUAAGUGCUAUGUUGUUGGGGAAUUGCAAUGCAA
RNAcentral lists this microRNA precursor (85 nucleotides) under Petromyzon marinus (sea lamprey). Its description in RNAcentral is "microRNA pma-mir-430e precursor". Its record names the gene pma-mir-430e. The record is from miRBase by way of RNAcentral. Lineage: Eukaryota; Metazoa; Chordata; Hyperoartia; Petromyzontiformes; Petromyzontidae.